Molecule: ribosomal RNA, 248 nt
Filed under: uncultured Christensenellaceae bacterium
Lineage: Bacteria; Bacillati; Bacillota; Clostridia; Christensenellales; Christensenellaceae
Description: partial 16S ribosomal RNA
Rfam family: Bacterial small subunit ribosomal RNA
Source: RNAcentral
UACGUAGGGGGCGAGCGUUGUCCGGAAUUACUGGGCGUAAAGGGUGCGUAGGCGGCCUGACAAGUCGGAUGUGAAAUACCCGUGCUUAACAUGGGGGUGUCAUUCGAAACUGUUGGGCUUGAGUGUGGAAGAGGUAAGUGGAAUUCCCGGUGUAGCGGUGAAAUGCGUAGAGAUCGGGAGGAACACCAGUGGCGAAGGCGACUUACUGGGCCACAACUGACGCUGAGGCACGAAAGCGUGGGGAGCAA